GGAUCCAUUCAGAAUCACCGACGCGACAGCUGAAGGACGUUGUUUUCCUACGACAAAUUACGCGCGCGUUCGCCGCUUUCGACGCGCGGCGUCGACGCGUGUGCGUGUAAUCCUCCCGUGUUGUCUACACACACCAACACACAACGUACGCACACUAUAACGCCGACCUACCCCACUGAGAAUCGUGUUUCAAUACAGAAACCGAAAACCAUAUCAUUACGCUGAAGCUCGUAGCAAACUUUCGUAGCAAAUGCGCGCGCGCAAUCGACUAACCUUUGCGAGGGCCAGUUAGCGCGUUUCACAGGUGUGUGUUAAUUCACGCGGUAAUCGAGUACGCGUGCCACUAAGAAAACAUUUUUCUGUAGUAAGUUUCUCUUUGAUUCUUCGAUACGGUGAUUUUAUUCUUUAAUCGUGUGGUCCUGGACGGAUUUAUUGCGAUUUGAAGUAAGAUCGAUGGAGUGUUUGGAGUAAGAAUGACGGAGAGUUUAGAUGCAUACAUAUAGUGCUUGAAAUCGUAUUCGCAUUGCCACAACAUUCAUUUCUCAAUUAAAAUUUUGGAAGCGACGACCAUCGUAAAACUCUUAAGCAAAGAUGCGCUGGAUGUGUAACGUCGAAAAAUGCUGGAAAAAUCAGACAGACGUGUAGGACCGUGGUCUGGCUCGCGGGGCAGAUUUGAGUGAGGAACGGAAGAGGAGGUUCGGAACGAUUAUGCAGCACGACACGGUGCCCAACAAGGAGAGACAAGGAGAUGGAGAGAAAAAGAGAAGGAGUGCACGAUGCACACGCUGCGAGCAAUGUGCGAGGCUUCGCGCGGCCGUCAAUUACGAUUAAUUAGAGCGGAGACUGACAGCGGACGCAGCGACGGCUACUUAAUACUUUAACUUGUCCCCAACCCUCCACCCGUUCACUUCCUCCGUCGUCGUCGACGGUGACGAAUCGACCGAGAGCUCCGUUCGUUUCGUUCAUCGUAAACUAUCGUGUAUAUAUCCCUUUUUGCCUUUUUCUCCUCGAUGUUCCCUCCAUUCACGAAACGUGAGAUCUCUGUUACGACCUUGUUCGCGGCAGGGAAAAAGUCACCAUCCAGGAAAUUCAAGCUUCUGGCUUAGGGCCACGCGUGCUCUCGUAAUAGGACAGUUUGUUCCUUGCAAAAUCAUUCCUUUUCUUGAAAUUCUAUUUCUAUUGCGUUCUUUCGGUUGUAAGAAAAAGUCUAAGGGAAUAAAAUACGGGGCUCAUUACAUAAAUAGAUAGAUAGAUAGUUUUAUUUAAGCCUGGCGGCCUUGAAACAAGACUUGAAUUACAAUUCCUCAGUUUAUUACAGUAUUUAAAAGGCUAAAAUAUACGUAGAAUACUCUUUGUUCGUUAACGAUCGCAGAAAGAUGCAAUUAUAACUUUUUAACGUUAGAAAAUGUCUCAGGAUUGAACAAGAUAUGAAAAAUUUCUCACGGGAAUGCAGGAUCUUUUUAAUGUGCUCUUACAAGAUUAGAAAUCCCCUUUUUCCGCUAAAAUUGUAAAGAUAAUAUAACAAUAUGAAAAUUUCAGCAUCGCAGCAAGGUUAAAUUCGCUUCGAUAUUUGUAUUGUAUGAAAUGAAUUUUUAGAAUAUUUUUUGUAUUGUUUUUUUGUACCAGGUAUAAAUAGUUGGAAGGUUUGUAGUACUUGAAAUUAAAAUCAAAUUUUGGAGAUUGAUUUAUUAGUGUCUUGAUAGAAAUAUUUUUUACUAUAAGAUUGACUUUUUAGUGAGUGAGAGAUACUUCAUGCCAAUGAAUUAGUACUUUUUGACUAUAAAAGUAGAUGUCGAUACAAUGGAAGAUCACUCAUCUGAAUCUGAUUGUUGCGUUAGACAUCGAGCAUAGGAGAAUAAUUUUAUUAUAUUAUAUAAGAGUUCACGUUCACAUUAGUAGAUUCAAUCAGCAGGUGUUUAGUUACUCGAGUAUUAAAUAAAAUCUUGUUCCAGUAAAACGAAUUCUCCUUUAUACACGUAAUCUAAAUCUACUCUUACUUGUCUAUUAAAUGUAGAAUUAACAUUUACAGUUACGGGAUAACGUGUAAAAGUAGUUAUCGAAAUGAAAUAUUAACACCAUAAGAUAAACUAUCAAAGCAUCCCAAUCUGUCGUUAGUUUGACGAAGGAAGUGAGAAUUAAUGACAAUUAGUUAGUAGAAACAUCAGAGUCUCUCGACUUUGAACAAGUCGAAUCUAAUAACAAGUUGUCGGUGUACACACUUCGUAACAACCGUAAUUAAUUAUAUAAUAUCGUGAUCUACGUUAGAAAGAGAGGACUCGCUGCAUUAUUAAACAGCAACAAUUAAAACGAAGAAUUAAUUCAGAAUAUUGCGGAUGCGCCGUUUCACGGUUUCAGGCAUACGUUCGUUACGCAUCGCAUCGACUUUAUAUUAAUAAGUAUGAUGUUCUGCUCGUUUGUAAGACGUAAAAUCAUUAAUCAAAGCUACAAUUAUAUACACGUUGGCACCAUUUUAUAAGUUACCCACCGUAGCGCGAAAACUAUUUAUUUUUCCAAUACCGUAGCAACAACACGGCUUCAUAUUGAGAUUAUAUUUUAUCAGGUGUUUCAUUACGAAAAAGAAAACAUUACAAACGUAUGAAAAUUUAUUUAUAGCCAUUCACGAAGGUCUUCGUACACCUUAUUCCUUCAUAUACCUUCCUAUACGAAGGUCUUUUCAUUCACUGUAUGGUACAGUGGUUGUCUUAUCACGUAACCGAUAUGUUCAGAAAUUCAUUAAAGUUUAGCAAGAAAAUUUUGUUUAAAUAAAAAUGACGCUUUUAUAAGAUUCGCGAAGACUUUUACGAUUAACCGUAUACGGUAACCUUUCUUAUUUUUUCAUGCUAACAAUAGGAAAGACAAUUUUAUCGUUAUUAGUAUGUUGCUGUAAUUGUGUCGGUGAAAUAGAAAAUGGUCAAUAACAAUUCAAUUGAUUUAACAAUCUAAUUUUCACAUUAUCGGCAUCGUCGUUAUGUCAGUGAAGUAGCAAUAUCUGUUAAGUAUGAAUUGGUUACGUAGCCAAUAGCAAUGUAGUCAAUUUAAUAAUUUAAUAUCGACAAACAAUAGUCUUUUGAAGUAAUCACAAGCGGAAGCUUUGAUCGGAAGUUGUGGAAGUAGGGAAAGAAGAAGGAGGGCGAAAACGUAUUUGAAUGAUUGCGCUCGUUGUCGGUCUCCUUCGCUAAUUGAGCCAUUGUCUAGGUCCGGUUAGGCACGUCUAAAAGCCUAAUGGCCGUUUCCUAGAGACGCGCCAGUCCGAAUACUGAACGAAUUAGAAUAAUUCGUUCCGUCUGGCUGCGUCACUAGAUCGCGCAACGACGUUCGUCGCCGGUUAGACGAAACCUGUCUUCUCUUUUCCUCCAUUUGCUAAGAAUCAAUGGUUCUACUUCAAUUUUUACUAACCUAACCUAUCCUUUUUUUAUUAGCUUCCUCGUCAAGUACACGGAGUUUUAAAAGGCUAUUCUAAGUGGAAUCUAGCUUAAACAUAACCUAGACUUGUCUCCUUUUUCCUCCUGCAAUUGCAAAGAAUCGGUGAUUAAUUUUGAUUAAAGCAAACCUAACCUAAACCUAAAGCAAUCAUAAUUCGAGGCUAAGCUCAAAUCUAAUGUAAACUUAAUUCGAGUUUGUUUAAACUUAAUCCAAACUUGGCCUCUUUUUCUCUUGAAAUUGCAAAGAAUCGAUGGUUAAUUUUGACUGAAGCGAACUUAACCUAAAGCUAAAGCAAUCAUAAUCCAAAGCUAAGCUCAAACCUGAUGUAAACCUAAUUGAAACUUGUUCUCUUGCUACUCUGGUUGCUAAGAAUCAGUGCUUCCGCUUUAAUUUCGACGCUUAACCUCCAUUUCGCCGGCGUGCACCACGUGUAUUACGUAUUUUUUGUAAACAUCACUUUUAUCCGGCCACGCGGAUGUUUUCCAUUAAAACGAAUCGCAUAGCGAAAACUUUUUAUUGUUCGCCGGUUUUUCCUGUUUCGACGUAUUCGAACGUAUUUUAUACGACAAAAAACAGCAUCCAGCAGGUAAAUAUCCUUCGAAUCUCGCCAUGGAAACGAUCAAUAGAAACGAGAUUUGUCGUAAUAAUUGAUGCUUCGAUAGACUGUGUGUUUCCAAUACAAAGAAACAUUAUACAUACAUAGUGUCUUCUUUCGUAUUAUAAUAUAUUUACCUUCAUUACUCGCGUUGCGGUCCUAGAUUCAAUAUCAAUAUAAAAUUAUAUUUAUUAUUAAUUUAUAUUAAUACAAAACUGUUUUUAAUACAUUUUAGGAAAAUAUUAUUCCAACACUGAAGCGAGAAAUCUUUCAUAUUUUCAUAACAUUAAGAAAUUUGUUAACAGUAAAAAUACACGAUUGGAUCAGAAACGAUGGAAACAAUGUGUUUCUUUUGUUCGUUAUUCUGUGAAAUAAUAGUAACCUUCUUCGUUUUAUCUUAUUUUCUACACAACUUACUGCAACUGCCUACCACACUAAUAACGCUAAAAGUAACUAAAAACUUCAUUCUCGUCCAUUAAAAUACCAAACAAGCAAGAAAAUGUUAAUCGAUAAAAGUUCUUGGAACCGUUCUUGGAAAAGUCCUCGGCGGAGAACGGGUCUCCCUUUUAAUUUUUAAUUUCAUUACGGAUUCUCGAGCAGCCCCAUAAUGGCCUCGAUACGCCAUAGGCCAUCUGCCACGAUCUCGAAGGAUCUGUAUCUACAUACCGAUCGAAUAUAAUCGAUCAGGAUCGAUCAGCGGAACAUCAUCUAGCUGACUGGUCGUCGAACGAUCGGCCGGUUUCGCUCGUAAGCCGUGUAAUCAUGCUACGAUCGAAUUUACAUGGCAAAUUGCGCGAAUCAGCGGAUCGAACGUUUUCUUCCUGUUAUCCAGCCGGAACAACGGCGGAUUCAUUUGUGUAAACACUAACCUCCGCGUUUACGGAAACGUUCGACUGUUGCUAAAGCGGAGAAACUGUUUCAAUAAAACGAAAAAUCAAUGAAAAAUUCUUCACUCGCACCUCUAUCAUCUUCAGUCUGUCAUUUGUGUUCUACGGCUUUUCCAAAGCUGCACUUUUCCAAAUCAUUUUUUAACCCAAUUUUAUUUUUCUAACGUAAAAAGUAUCUCGAAUUUGAGCAAAAUAUCAACGAAAUUCUUGUUGCUAAUAUAUACAUGAUUUCUUGUUUUCAUUCUAUGUUAAACAUCCUCCUGAAACAGUUCCUCUUUAUCUCUUGAAAUAAUGCGGACGGAGUUAAAAAGGUUUGAUCUUCCUAGGAAGUCCAGAUAUAAUUAUGAUGCAAAAGGGAGAACGGUCGGGGGGAGGGGCAGUGUUGCGUUUCGUGAUCGUGAUUGCUGAAUAAGAUUUUUUCCAGGGAGAGCCGGAGGUGGGAAUCUUACGGGCGUUGCGAUAAGGCACACAUUAAUUGAAGAACAACAUCCGGCAUGGAGCCGGUGGCCGACGUCGUGACAUCAUUGUCUACGACAGAACGAAAAUGGAAUUAAACGAAGCACCAUCGGCCUGAGCCGAUUCAAAGCAAAGGGUAAUUUUAGAGUGAUAGCAUUAGCGAGAAUUUCUCGCUGGUAUCGGCCAUUUCAAAAGAAGUCGAUCCAAUGUUCGACCCAUUUUUUCCUCGAUUGUUUAGUAAUCAAAUGGACAACGUUCCCUAUCGUAUAUUUUAAAUUCUUAAUCUUUUACGAACGGAGAACAGUUUAUAGGUGUUAAUGGAAAUACGAAGUCAAAGAGUAGAGAGUCUCAUUCGAAAGUAGGUUUAUUCUAGUAUAAUAUUCUUUCUCGAGUCUUCUUUCGUCGUUCAACGGCCAAAUAAAAACUAAUAUGCAAGAAACGAUCUCUAUUAUAUAUAUCUUUAAUUUUUAAUAAUGAAAAAUCGAUGUAUUGUUGCUUUGAACGAACGAACAUUCUUUUUUAAGUUUUACUCUAUCGUCUAAUGAUCAAAUUGGAAUUAAUGUCUAUGUAAUAUGUAUAAAGAAUGUUCAUUGGAUAUAAUAGAAACAUCAAUUUGGAGGGAGUAUCGCUCAAUUAUAAUUUGAAAUAAUUUAAUAAUUUCUAUUCCACGCGAUUAGAAUUAUGGCAUAUAGUACGGUGAAUAAUGAAAAUUUGAAAGAUCAAAUUCAUCGCUCAAAUUGAUCCUAGUUACUGUUAUUUUGCCAACGAUCGAUUAUAAGCCAAUGGAGCUUGUCCACCUGUCGUGUUCGAUGAGAACGCAAUUCUGACCCGGCGGCGGAACUAAUAGCUUCGACGAAGGACUACUCGUAACAGUCUGCGCGUUUAAUUAGAUAGAAGGAAUAUUAUAACGAGGUGAACACGCGUUUAUAUGUGUACAUGAGUCACAUACUAUAAGUAGUAGACAGCAUAGCACUAAUAGAUACUAUCACACUGCAGUAGUUAGUACAGUAGAUAGCAUCAUAUUGCACAAUUCGACGAUUUGUUAAAAAAAUGAAAGAUAGAUUACAACUACCAGAUAUCGUAAAUUUCCAUCGAUUAUCAAAAUUAUCAUCUGAACACAAUUAAUCUGAACUAUUAUAAUAACCGAAGAAGUUCAGAAUAUACCAAAAUAGACUUCCACGUUUUACCAUGAAAAAAAAAAAAAAAUAAAUAUAACGUUAUUUACAAGUACCAGGGUCGAAAGAAUUUUUAAUUUUGCUUCUUCCAAUUUCCACUAAUCGCCAAAUAUUUCACCAAUUUCGAUCAAAAUACGAUAAACACAAAUUCCCAACACCGAAGAAAUUCAUAGCACAGCAAUGAAAAUAUCUGUAAAACUAAUGGAAUCUGUGAGAAGUAAAAAAUCUACUAAUAUACCAAUCUCUUUCAUCCCACGAAUAAAUUUUGAAACCAAAAACGAGUACGCAAAACGUAUUUUUCUCCGGCGAAUACUGCCCCUAAAUGUUCCGUGCAAGAAACGUAAUGGCCAAACGCGUGGCAAAAAGACGUAAACGUGCAAAUGGCGAAAGAGAGACAGGAAUAGAAGUAUCUGGAGCGAGCACCAGGUCUGAGUGUUCCGUUUUACGAUCUUCCUUCGGCCGACAGGAGCCACACGAUCGGUAGUCGGAGGAUCCGGGGUUAAAGAAGGGAAAAAAUAUGAGGGAAGUCGAUGACGAUAAAGAAGAGAAGAAGAGGUGGAGUAGAGGCUUGCUAGAACGAAUGGCUGUGCCAAAUUAACCAUGAUUUAUGAACACGGCUGGCCAAUAUUCCAUUCUAUUAACAUCGCAUUAUCCGUCCGUCAAAUUACACGCCAACGACCCAGUUUUUCAGGAGCCGGUCCUGGCACAAAGUAAUCUUUGCAUUCAUGGCUUCGUUAUCUCGAGAUCAUUUGCUUUCUGUGAGUACGUUGUUAUUUCAUUGAUUUUUUAAUAGGUAUAUUAUUUUAUUAUACAUAUGAUAUUAUUCUGUCAUGUAUUAUUGAUUAUCGGUUAUUCAUAUUGGUUAUCCUUGUUGUAAUUUCAUUUAUUUAUUUUAUCUUUGUUAGUUUGGUGAAGUUAUUAAAAUCGUUUUAAUGAUGCGAUAUCUGUCGUUAAUUUUCUUUACGAGUAUAACAAGUUCGAAUAUGAA
Molecule: long non-coding RNA, 7524 nt
Organism: Bombus huntii
Lineage: Eukaryota; Metazoa; Arthropoda; Insecta; Hymenoptera; Apidae
Exons: 3
Source: RefSeq, a predicted model, not a curated record